RNAcentral lists this ribosomal RNA (465 nucleotides) under uncultured bacterium. Its description in RNAcentral is "partial 16S ribosomal RNA". It matches the Rfam family "Bacterial small subunit ribosomal RNA", at positions 28 to 507 of the family's 1533-position model. The record is from RNAcentral.
GAUGAACGCUGGCGGCGUGCUUAACACAUGCAAGUCGAACGGAAAGGCUCCUGCUUGCAGGGGUACUCGAGUGGCGAACGGGUGAGUAACACGUGGGUGAUCUGCCCUGCACUUCGGGAUAAGCCUGGGAAACUGGGUCUAAUACCGGAUAGGACCACAUUUUGGAUGGUGUGGUGGAAAGUUUUUCGGUGUGGGAUGAGCUCGCGGCCUAUCAGCUUGUUGGUGGGGUAAUGGCCUACCAAGGCGUCGACGGGUAGCCGGCCUGAGAGGGUGUACGGCCACAUUGGGACUGAGAUACGGCCCAGACUCCUACGGGAGGCAGCAGUGGGGAAUAUUGCACAAUGGGCGCAAGCCUGAUGCAGCGACGCCGCGUGGGGGAUGAAGGCCUUCGGGUUGUAAACUCCUUUCGCUAGGGACGAAGCGCAAGUGACGGUACCUGGAGAAGAAGCACCGGCUAACUACGUG